RNAcentral lists this ribosomal RNA (423 nucleotides) under uncultured bacterium. Its description in RNAcentral is "bacterial SSU rRNA". It matches the Rfam family "Bacterial small subunit ribosomal RNA", at positions 355 to 776 of the family's 1533-position model. The record is from RNAcentral.
UGAGGAAUAUUGGUCAAUGGUCGGAAGACUGAACCAGCCAUGCCGCGUGAAGGUCACGGCCCUAUGGGUCUUAAACUUCUUUUGCAAGGGAGCAAUAAGGUCUACGUGUAGACUGAUGAGAGUACCUUGCGAAUAAGCAUCGGCUAACUCCGUGCCAGCAGCCGCGGUAAUACGGGGGAUGCAAGCGUUAUCCGGAUUUAUUGGGUUUAAAGGGUGCGUAGGCGGCUUAUUAAGUCAGCGGUGAAAUUUAGGGGCUCAACCUCUACCGUGCCGUUGAUACUGGUGAGCUAGAAUGCGGAUGCCGUGGGAGGAAUGUGUGGUGUAGCGGUGAAAUGCAUAGAUAUCACACAGAACACCGAUUGCGAAGGCAUCUCACGAAUCCGCGAUUGACGCUGAGGCACGAAAGCGUGGGGAUCAAACAGG